This 6288-nucleotide long non-coding RNA is filed under the name Manihot esculenta (cassava). Its description in RNAcentral is "long non-coding RNA (MESC_LNC009795)". The stretch from base 141 to 230 matches the Rfam family "mir-160 microRNA precursor family". The record is from RNAcentral. Lineage: Eukaryota; Viridiplantae; Streptophyta; Magnoliopsida; Malpighiales; Euphorbiaceae.
UUCUCUAUAUAAGUGUAGAUCUCUUCUUUGUCUCCUUACUCUGUCUUCUCUCUCUUUCUCUCUCUCUCUCUCUGUAAAGUCCUAUUAGCUUGUUUGCAAGAAAGGGCAGCUGAAACUUGAAGAAAAAAAGGUGAAAUGGGUUAUGCCUGGCUCCCUGUAUGCCACAAGCUAGAGUUCAAUCCCAUCAGUGGACUGGCUGUCGCCGGUGGCGUGCGAGGAGCCAAGCAUACUCUCUCUCUCUUCUCUUUAGUUUCAUGUUUCUCUCUAAUUAGUUUAAUGAUUUCUUUCUGUUCAUUAACAUCAUAUCUAUUAUGUUCUUGGUACUCUUACGGCUAGCCAAUUCUCCUCAGAACUUCCAAGAAUCCUGAAAGCCUGGCAUGCUUCAGUUGUUCCAAUCUACAUAUAUAAAAACUUGCCUAAAUCGAGUGAAACAUAUAUAUAUAUAAUUGCAAAGCUGCGAAAAUUUUCUUUUUCUAUGAUAAAGCAAUAGCUACUUAAUAAGAAAAGAGUAAUUUACGUAUUAUUGGAAGUAGGUAAUGCUAGGUAUUCCUGUUUCUUUCAUUACGUCAGCUUUUAGGUCAUUUCUCUGAUUUUGAAUUCUCUUUGGCUCCAAAAUUCAACAUAUAAUGUAUACAUUUUGAUUCUUUAAACAACGUGGUAUGAGAAUUUUAUAAAUUUGACUUAUUUAAAUUUACGUUAAAUAUACGAUUUUUUACUAAAAUAAAAAAAUAGAUCUUUUUAAAUUGAGAUUUAAACUCAAUAUUACUAAUCAUGAUACAAAACAAUUAAUUUUAAAUUUUACGACAAAUUUAAACCGAUCUUAAUUUUCAUUAUCGACGUCCGAUGAAAAUUCACAAUAAUUUUUUAAAAAAUAAAUUUCGAGAUGUACGAAUGAGCCCACAGAUUUGUCAUAAAAUUUAAGACAAAAGUUUCACCAUUUAGUGAGAUAAUUUUGCUCAUUAGAAUUUUUUCUAUUAUAAAUAAUUUUUUUCUUAAUUAUUUGAAAUCCACUUCUCAAUUUUUUAAGAAUUUUAAUAAAAUUUUUCAAUUUUCAACCUCUCAUUUUUUUAUAUUAUUUUAGUCAAACGAUAUUAAUUAAAAUUUUUAACGGAAUCUAAUCAAUCUUUUAUCAAAUCAGCUAUGAUAUAUUUUUUAAAAAAAUAUUUUGCAUCAAAUUAUUAGUAUCAAAAUUUGUUGAUAUGAAUUUUUUAAAAUAAGGUAUGAGUUCUGAGAUAAUUUACUUUUUCUUUUAGCAUUGUUAAUUUAAGAUAUUAAUUUAUUGAAAAAAAGAUUUUGAGGUUUCAAGACGUUCAAAGUUUCAGAUUCUCAACAAUUCAAAUUAAUGAAUUAUGAAAGUUUUAGUAAGUAAUAAUUUUUUUAUUAAUCAUGGUACGAUUAAUAAAUUUUAAAGAUUUUAUAUUUGUUUUUAUUUAAUAUUAAAACAUAUUUAAAAUGUUUAUAAAAUUCUUAUACCACAAAAAAAAUCUUAUAUAAAAUAUGUUAAAGAUAUUAUUAAAUUUGAUUGUAAUUUAAUUUAUAAUAUAUAUUAGCCUUCAUAAUUUCAAAAUAAUAUGAUAAAGAGUUUCAAAUUACUAUUAAAAAAACAUACACUUUUUAAAAAAUAAAAGAAAUUUUAAUUUUAUAGUAAUUAUCAUUUUUUAAAUUAUAGUAAUAUAUAAAUUAAUUAGUAUAUUUUAUUUUAUUUUUAAGAAAUUUUUUAAAAUAUCUUUAAUAUUUAAUAAAAUUUAAUAAAUUUAAAAUAAAUAUAAUUAAAAAAUUAAUGAAAAAUUAUAUUUUUUAAUAUAUAUUAAAAAAUAAAAUAAAUCAAGAGAAAAAAUAUAGAACUGUAAGUAAAAAGGAAAAGUUGAUAUUUAAAAAUUAAUCAGUUGUAAAUUAAAUAUCAUAGAAAUUAUUAAAAAAAUUAAAAAGAAAAACUUUUCAUAGACUAAAAGGAAAUUUAAAUAGAAAAGAAAUUAAAACAAGCUAGAAUUGCCCAUUAUUUACAAAUUUCAAUAUUUUCUAAAUGUCUUAAUAAAAAAAUAGAUUUCAUAAUUUAGUUAUAUUUUAAAAUUUAGUUGUAAUUAUAUUUAAUUGUUCAAAAUUAAACACUAUAAAAGACAAAAAAAAAAAAUUGUUGAAAAAUGUUGUCGGCAAUUAUCAUUGUUUUAUCAACGUUAUAAAACAAAUUGAAAAAAAAAAAAAUAUGAAAACAAUUAUCGAAUUGAUAUUAGCAACGACUUACCGAUAAUUGAAGGUCACAUGACCUUACCUAACAGACAAUGAAAGAAAAACAUAGAUUUAGUAAAACUAUAGAAUUUAAAAUUUUUUCUUAAUAUCUAUAAUUUCAUAUUCAACAUUCAAACAUUAAUAUAAAAAAAUUAUCAUGUAAAAAUUUUAGCUAUAGUUGAUAGAGAAAGUACGAAAUUAAUUAUUCAAAAGUAAAUUUAGGAUUUUAUAUCUUAUUAUGCAUAUUUAAUUUUUGAUCGGUAAAUUUUAAAUCUCAAAAAGUUGACUUUCUGACAUAUAUAUCUAUACGAAUCGAUUUCGACACGAUUCAUUAUUCAGGAUUGAAAUUCAAUAUUUUAAAAUUUUUUUUAAAUAUAAAAAAUAAUAGAAUAAUAAUAAAAAAAGGAUUUUCUCUCGACAAAUAAGAACUUAAAGUGAAAGAAGAAUUAGAGAGAAUUAAGAAGCUCUCUAAUUACUGGUGAGGAGGACAUGGAGCCAUGACUCUCACUCCCUCCAUCACCUCUUUUUCCCUUAAUAUAAACUUGGGUGGUUGGAUAGUGGUUAGAUAUUUUAAAUCCCUAAUCCUUAAAACCUUUUCAAAAUAACCAUAUAAUAUUAUUUUAGGGUAACGUGACUUUUUCAUGUAUAAUAGGCAUAUAUUAAUUUUUUAAUUUAAUUAAAUAAAUUAAUGUUUAUUAAUUUAACUAAUCUCAAUUAAUUUAAUUAAUUAAUAUUUAUUAAUUAUUAUUAACGAAUUAUUAGUCUUGACCAACAUUUGGUCUUGACCCUAAUAUGAUAUUUUACUAUUAGAUAAUUCAAAUACAUGUGGAAUGAGAGUUCGAUCUAUGUCUUAAAAAUAUUAAUUGAAUUAAUUAUUCUCUUAUUAAUUAAUCAUAUUUAUUGGACAUGGCUAGACUAAUAUUUGAUCUUGGACUUAUUAAGAGAAUAUGAUUUAAUUUUUUAAUUUCGUUUAAAUAUAUUUAAAAUUUAUAUCACAUUAAAUCAAGUUCGUAUUAAAUGUGACCUAAUAAAUUGUUUUGGCCUUUUUUUCAAGCUUAUAUCGUACAUAACUUUAAUUUAUCACAUGGUUUAUCUUAUUUUUAAGAUUCAUGAGCUAUAUGGAUAAAAUUAAUCACUUGAAUUGAUUAUCUCCCUUAAUUUCAUUUUAACUAAUCAACGAUUGAAUUUAGUUCAACUCAUAGCAAGAGACUUGCAACUUGUGUUGCUAAUUAAAUUUAUUAAUUAAUAUAAUUAGUUAAACAUAAUUAAUUAAUUAAUUAAUAUUGUCGAGAUUAUUUAUAACUUUCUACGUUCAUAAUCGAUUGACAAUGGGAAUGAAAAUGACAUUUUCACAUACUUUAAUAUCUCAUGUAUUUUUGAUUCCAAAUAUGGUUAGUGUCUAGUAUAAUACGCUAUGGCUACCCAAUAGAGAAUGAAUGUAUUCUUUCAUUUAAUUCAAACUACGAUCAUAAAUCAUGAUGGCGUAAGAUCCUUACGUUACAAAAUAUCAAAGUUAAGAUCAUGAUAAUAUCAAAAUCCAAUAUUAUAUAUCAUAUGAUCAUUAUUUAAUUUCAAUUCUUAAUCCGUAAGACUUGCAUUAGAAACCUUUUUUAAUUAAGUCAUAUUAUCACAACUAAAGACUUAUUAUAAAAAUUAAUUAAUUCGAUAAUAGGAUUUGACCUAUUUACCUAGAGUAACAAACCAUAUAUUGAUUGACUUCUCAUCUCCAUACACAAUUAAAUUGAGUUAACACUCGUUAUAUAUCCAUAUAUGGUAUAAGUAUGUAAAUGAUAUCAAAUUCAAACUACUUAUACAUGAGACAAGUACAGUCUUAGUACUACUAGUCUAUCUAAGUACUACUAAUUCGAUUCACUCAUCACCAUGAAUGCUCACGUAUUUACCUAAACAUUACAUAUCUUAUGAUAUGAGACUUUCCGGUCUAUUAUCAUUAAUAGUAUUAUAUUGAUCAAUAAUGACAUAUAGAAUUUAUUCUGGAUGAAUCAUUUACGACGAGACAUCUUACAACUGUCAACAUUUUAUAGCAUUUUGUAUAGUCAUCAUAUUCUUAACUCCUUGAAAAUGAAAUAACUAAAUAUUAGUUACAUGUGUAGAAGUGAUUGUGAUCAAGCUAAAUUAGUUGGGUACUCAGACUUCCGUUAAUAAUCUACAAAGAUUUUUGGAAACUUCACUAUUUAGUUUCUAAAAGUUAUUGUUAAUAUUAUUUUGUUACUUUAUUUUAGAAAUUAGAUUAUUUCAUCACUUGUUUUUCUUUCUUUGCACAUUUAAAUCUUUUUCUACAUUUUGAAAAUAGUAUUUUAAGAUAAAUUAUUAUUAAGCUUUAUAUAUUGUGAUUAUUUACAAUUUCAUCUUUAAUUCUACAAUUAUUUUACCAUUAUAGUUUUAUUUCUUUGUUUCACCUUUCUAGAGAGAUAUAGAAAGAGGAAGACAGACAGAGAAAAAAGAAAGUAUGGAAAUAAAAAAAAAAGAAAGUAUGGAAAUAAAAUUGUAAUAAGUAGAAAGUUAGGAGUCAUAAUUUUAAUAAAAAUAUUAAGAUAAUUAUAAAAAAUUACUAUGUAUUUAGUGUCUUUUUUAAAUAGAGCUCUAUGAUUUAAUCUGUUACAAAAAAAACAAUGUGGUUUCACAGUAAAGUGAGAUUUUUCUCACUAAUACCAUUAAUACAUACUAGUAGGAGUAAGCAGUAUUCGGUUCAAACCGAAAAAACUGACCGAAUCAAAUUAAUUUCAAAAUUCGAUUUGAUUUUUUAUUCAAUUCAGUUCGGUUCGGUUUUUAAUUUCAAAAAUUUCAUUUAUUUUAGUUCGGUUCGGUUUUAAUCAGAAAAAAAUCAAAAAAAUCGAAUCGAACCGAUUAAUGAUAGUAAUAUGUUAUUUUCAAUAAUAUAGAGAAAUUAAAUUAUAUUAAUAUUAAAAUAUUCUAAUUAAAUUUUAAAAUAUUAAAAAUAAAGUGUAAAAAAUAAAAAAUUUAUUAAAAAUCAAAAUCGAUCAAACCGAACUGAAUCGAACCGAAUCAGACCGGUUCGGUUCGAUUCGGUUUCUGAUCAAAAUAAGUUCGGUUCGGGUUUUAUAAAUACUAAUUUCAGUUUUCGAUUUAUUCGAUUCGGUUCAAUUUUAAACGAAUGCUCACCCCUACAUACUGGCAAAGCAUUUGAAAAUCAAUUAAAAUAAUCUUUAAUUAGAAUAAAAUACAUUUUAAUCUUAAAGUUUUAUAAAAUAAAUGAUUUAAUUUAUAUAUUUUUAAAAUUAGUUAUAAAGUUUUAUUUUAUAAUAAAAUAGUUUUUUAUUAUAAUUCAUCCUUAUAUAAUGACAAAUUGAUUUUUAAAUAUUAUAACUACUUACAAAUUAGUACUUAUACUUUUUAUAAUUUAAUUUUUUAUAUUUAUUAAAUUUAAUAUCUUAUAUUCGAUAAAUUAAUAAAUAAAAAUUAAAUCAAGAAUAUUGAUAUAAUAUGCAUUUAAAUUAAAACUUAAAGAAUACUCCGCCAUUUAACUUUUUACUUCUCUAUUAUCUAAUUAUCUUUUUAUUUAAUUAAGAUAAAAAAAGGAAAUGACAUAUUUUUAUUUACUUAUUGAUGUUAUUGAAAUAAAGUUGAUGAUAUGACUGAAAUAAAAUUAUUUUGUAAUAGAUCAAUCCUAUAAGAAAGAGAAUGUGCGGUGGUUGAUGUCUACGACAACUAUUUCGACGCUCAAAUAAGUAAAUUAAGAAUAUGACGAAUAUAAAGAGUUUCUUAAAACUUAAGAGUUAUUGUGUAAGAAUUGGAUACCUUUUUCUCUGUAAUUGUUAGUUUUUAUACCGUAAGAAAUAAAGUCAAUUAUAGCAUUUAUUGAAAAUCCGACAAUGAUAUGGUUGUCGAUUAAUAAGUAAUCUCACUGGUUGAUUGAUCGAUGAUCCUGCGAUUACAUGCAUAAUGAAUAUCUACGAUAUAAUAUUUGCUAAUAGUAAUUUUAUGUGAAAGCUCGAUUUUUUUUAAAUAGGAUAAUUCUUGGUGGAGAAUUGGAUGCCACGUUUUGCGGAUCUCCCUUUACUCGAGUAGAACUGCCUACCGGUU